Molecule: long non-coding RNA, 324 nt
Filed under: Zostera marina
Lineage: Eukaryota; Viridiplantae; Streptophyta; Magnoliopsida; Alismatales; Zosteraceae
Description: long non-coding RNA (ZMAR_LNC000985)
Source: RNAcentral
UGUGCAAAGAGAGUAUGUGUUUGGACUAGGGGUGGGCAUCGGUCAAACCCGAACAUGUCGGGUCCGGGUGGAUAUUUUCAACCAUUAAAAGCCGGAGACUGCAAGGACUUCGGGGAAGAAGUUUUGUUUGCCUUAAGGUACUACUUCUUCGCCUCUCUUAUUUUCCCUCUUUCUUCUUCUCUAAUUUCUCAGGUGGAAUCCAGAUUCAAUCAACCGGUAGGUGGAUUCCGGCUUGCAACGCAUUCUGCUCUUCGUCUCGCAAUCGUCCGUCUGACAAUCUAUUAUGUGUAACCAUAACAUUACUUUCCUGUAUUUUUCUACUGA